CCUACGGGUGGCAGCAGUGAGGAAUAUUGGUCAAUGGACGAGCGUCUGAACCAGCCAAGUAGCGUGAAGGAUGACUGCCCUAUGGGUUGUAAACUUCUUUUAUAUGGGAAUAAAAUGUUCCACGUGUGGGAUUUUGUAUGUACCAUAUGAAUAAGGAUCGGCUAACUCCGUGCCAGCAGCCGCGGUAAUACGGAGGAUCCGAGCGUUAUCCGGAUUUAUUGGGUUUAAAGGGAGCGUAGGUGGAUUGUUAAGUCAGUUGUGAAAGUUUGCGGCUCAACCGUAAAAUUGCAGUUGAAACUGGCAGUCUUGAGUACAGUAGAGGUGGGCGGAAUGCGUGGUGUAGCGGUGAAAUGCUUAGAUAUCACGAAGAACUCCGAUUGCGAAGGCAGUUCACUGGACUGCAACUGACACUGAGGCUCGAAAGUGUGGGUAUCAAACAGGAUUAGAUACCCGGGUAGUC
This 460-nucleotide ribosomal RNA is filed under the name uncultured bacterium. Its description in RNAcentral is "partial 16S ribosomal RNA". It matches the Rfam family "Bacterial small subunit ribosomal RNA", at positions 338 to 795 of the family's 1533-position model. The record is from RNAcentral.